UCGAGCGAGAACCCUGCUUCGGCGGGGGAGUACAGCGGCGAACGGGUGAGUAACACGUGAGUAACCUGCCCCCGGGUCCGGAAUAGCCCCGGGAAACCGGGAUUAAUACCGGAUGCGGCGCGGCGUGCGCCUGCACGCCGCGGCAAAGGUUUAUCCGCCCGGGGAGGGGCUCGCGCCCCAUUAGCUUGUCGGCGGGGUAACGGCCCGCCGAGGCGAAGAUGGGUAGCUGGUCUGAGAGGAUGAUCAGCCACACUGGGACUGAGACACUGCCCAGACUCCUACGGGAGGCUGCAGUCGAGAAUCUUCGGCAAUGGGCGCAAGCCUGACCGAGCGAUGCCGCGUGAGGGAAGAAGGCCUUCGGGUCGUAAACCUCUGUCAGGAGGGACGAAAUCUGACGGUACCUCCAGAGGAAGCCACGGCUAACUACGUGCCAGCAGCCGCGGUAACACGUAGGUGGCGAGCGUUAUUCGGAAUCACUGGGCGUAAAGGGUCCGCAGGGGGUCUGCCAAGUCCGGUGUGAAAGCCCGCGGCUCAACCGCGGAAGUGCACUGGAAACUGGUGGACUGGAGUACAGGAGAGGAAAGCGGAAUUCCCGGUGUAGCGGUGGAAUGCGUAGAUAU
RNAcentral lists this ribosomal RNA (620 nucleotides) under uncultured bacterium. Its description in RNAcentral is "bacterial SSU rRNA". It matches the Rfam family "Bacterial small subunit ribosomal RNA", at positions 62 to 697 of the family's 1533-position model. The record is from RNAcentral.